GGAUUGUGGCUUAGUGGUAGAGUGCUUGCCUAGCGUGCAGGAAGCACUAAGUUCGAUCCUCAGCACCA
Molecule: transfer RNA, 68 nt
Filed under: Marmota monax (woodchuck)
Lineage: Eukaryota; Metazoa; Chordata; Mammalia; Rodentia; Sciuridae
Description: tRNA.Ala
Rfam family: tRNA (bases 5-65)
About the family: Transfer RNA (tRNA) molecules are approximately 80 nucleotides in length. Their secondary structure includes four short double-helical elements and three loops (D, anti-codon, and T loops).
Source: RNAcentral